CCUACGGGAGGCUGCAGUGAGGAAUAUUGGUCAAUGGGCGUAAGCCUGAACCAGCCAAGUCGCGUGAGGGAUGAAGGUUCUAUGGAUCGUAAACCUCUUUUAUAAGGGAAUAAAGUGUGGGACGUGUCCUGUUUUGUAUGUACCUUAUGAAUAAGGAUCGGCUAACUCCGUGCCAGCAGCCGCGGUAAUACGGAGGAUCCGAGCGUUAUCCGGAUUUAUUGGGUUUAAAGGGUGCGUAGGCGGCCGUUUAAGUCAGCGGUGAAAGUCUGUGGCUCAACCAUGGAAUUGCCGUGGAAACUGGGAGGCUUGAGAAUGGUUGCGGCAGGCGGAAUGGUUGGGGUAGCGGGGAAAUGCUUAGAGAUCACACAGAACCCCGAUUGCGAAGGAAGCCUGCCAAGCCAUGACUGACGCGGAGGCACGAAAGCGUGGGGAGCAAACAGGAUUAGAUACCCGAGUAGUC
RNAcentral lists this ribosomal RNA (460 nucleotides) under uncultured bacterium. Its description in RNAcentral is "partial 16S ribosomal RNA". It matches the Rfam family "Bacterial small subunit ribosomal RNA", at positions 338 to 795 of the family's 1533-position model. The record is from RNAcentral.